This 58-nucleotide transfer RNA is filed under the name Tonicia forbesii. RNAcentral's name for it is "tRNA-Arg". Lineage: Eukaryota; Metazoa; Mollusca; Polyplacophora; Chitonida; Chitonidae. The record is from RNAcentral.
GUUCCAACUUUUUAUGAUUUCGGCUCAUACUACUAACAGUUAUUACUGUUUUGGAACU